RNAcentral lists this ribosomal RNA (253 nucleotides) under uncultured bacterium. RNAcentral describes it as "partial 16S ribosomal RNA". It matches the Rfam family "Bacterial small subunit ribosomal RNA", at positions 524 to 776 of the family's 1533-position model. The record is from RNAcentral.
UACGUAGGUGGCAAGCGUUGUCCGGAUUUACUGGGCGUAAAGAGCGCGCAGGCGGUCGUGCAAGUCGCGUGUGAAAGCCCCCGGCUCAACUGGGGAGGGUCACGCGAUACUGCUCGACUCGAAGGCAGGAGAGGGAAGUGGAAUUCCCGGUGUAGCGGUGAAAUGCGCAGAUAUCAGGAAGAACACCCGUGGCGAAAGCGGCUCUCUGGAACGGUACUGACGCUGAGACGCGAAAGCGUGGGGAGCGAACAGG